This 1196-nucleotide ribosomal RNA is filed under the name Kocuria tytonis. RNAcentral's name for it is "bacterial SSU rRNA". It matches the Rfam family "Bacterial small subunit ribosomal RNA", at positions 257 to 1461 of the family's 1533-position model. Lineage: Bacteria; Bacillati; Actinomycetota; Actinomycetes; Micrococcales; Micrococcaceae. The record is from RNAcentral.
GUAAUGCUCACCAAGGCGACGACGGGUAGCCGGCCUGAGAGGGUGACCGGCCACACUGGGACUGAGACACGGCCCAGACUCCUACGGGAGGCAGCAGUGGGGAAUAUUGCACAAUGGGCGGAAGCCUGAUGCAGCGACGCCGCGUGAGGGAUGACGGCCUUCGGGUUGUAAACCUCUUUCAGCACGGAAGAAGCGAGAGUGACGGUACGUGCAGAAGAAGCGCCGGCUAACUACGUGCCAGCAGCCGCGGUAAUACGUAGGGCGCAAGCGUUGUCCGGAAUUAUUGGGCGUAAAGAGCUCGUAGGCGGUUUGUCGCGUCUGCUGUGAAAGCCCGGGGCUUAACCCCGGGUGUGCAGUGGGUACGGGCAGACUUGAGUGCAGUAGGGGAGACUGGAAUUCCUGGUGUAGCGGUGAAAUGCGCAGAUAUCAGGAGGAACACCGAUGGCGAAGGCAGGUCUCUGGGCUGUUACUGACGCUGAGGAGCGAAAGCAUGGGGAGCGAACAGGAUUAGAUACCCUGGUAGUCCAUGCCGUAAACGUUGGGCACUAGGUGUGGGGAACAUUCCACGUUUUCCGCGCCGUAGCUAACGCAUUAAGUGCCCCGCCUGGGGAGUACGGCCGCAAGGCUAAAACUCAAAGGAAUUGACGGGGGCCCGCACAAGCGGCGGAGCAUGCGGAUUAAUUCGAUGCAACGCGAAGAACCUUACCAAGGCUUGACAUACACCGGACCGGGCCAGAGAUGGUCUUUCCCCCUUGUGGGGCUGGUGUACAGGUGGUGCAUGGUUGUCGUCAGCUCGUGUCGUGAGAUGUUGGGUUAAGUCCCGCAACGAGCGCAACCCUCGUUCUAUGUUGCCAGCACGUGAUGGUGGGGACUCAUAGGAGACUGCCGGGGUCAACUCGGAGGAAGGUGGGGAUGACGUCAAAUCAUCAUGCCCCUUAUGUCUUGGGCUUCACGCAUGCUACAAUGGCCAGUACAAUGGGUUGCGAUGCCGUGAGGUGGAGCUAAUCCCAAAAAGCUGGUCUCAGUUCGGAUCGUGGUCUGCAACUCGACCACGUGAAGUCGGAGUCGCUAGUAAUCGCAGAUCAGCAACGCUGCGGUGAAUACGUUCCCGGGCCUUGUACACACCGCCCGUCAAGUCACGAAAGUUGGUAACACCCGAAGCCGGUGGCCUAACCCUUGUGGGGGAGCCGUCGAAG